CACCCAUGAUGAACAUCAGUGCUAGGCUCCUAGGCAAUUCAUGCAAAAUUUGAAAAUAAUGAUUUGCUUUGAGAGAUGGUGAUCCAGAUAUUGUUGGAAGCGAUAAAGGGUAUUGUCAGAGAGCAAAUAGGACUUGCAAUAUUAGGGGUAUUGGAUAGCCAGCUCAAAUACUAUUAUACUAGAAGUGAUAUUUUUUAAUAUUAUGUAUUUGAGCAGCGUUGAGCCUUAAGCCCUAUUCUUUUAUAAACUCAUGAGUUGUGCUUGUUUUCAUUUU
Long non-coding RNA from Populus euphratica (Euphrates poplar), 274 nucleotides. RefSeq lists it as uncharacterized. Lineage: Eukaryota; Viridiplantae; Streptophyta; Magnoliopsida; Malpighiales; Salicaceae. The record is from RefSeq and is a predicted model, not a curated record. The transcript has 2 exons.